UGAUCACACACAGUUGCUGAUUGUCAGC
Molecule: non-coding RNA, 28 nt
Filed under: Mus musculus (house mouse)
Lineage: Eukaryota; Metazoa; Chordata; Mammalia; Rodentia; Muridae
Source: RNAcentral